Molecule: unclassified non-coding RNA, 296 nt
Filed under: Hevea brasiliensis (rubber tree)
Lineage: Eukaryota; Viridiplantae; Streptophyta; Magnoliopsida; Malpighiales; Euphorbiaceae
Source: RNAcentral
AAACAACAAUGUUAUCAGAUAUUUAGAUCUGAACAAUAGAGAACAAUCCCAACUCUUAACACUGGAACUGAAAGGAGUUCAACCUCCAAAUCCAAAAACCAGAUCUCCUAAACGGCUUCGUAGACGUUCACCUGACACUCAGACGAUCAUUGUUGAUGGGGGCUCAUUCAGCGAGGGCAACUUAUCUCUAAGAAUAUCAUUACCAGAAGAGUAUCAUUUCUCAAAGGAAGCUCGCAGUAAAUUUAACGUCGAAACUGAGCCUGAGAGUGCGUUGUCUAUUGACCCGUAUGAUGGGU